This 87-nucleotide transfer RNA is filed under the name Hartmannibacter diazotrophicus. RNAcentral describes it as "tRNA-Pro". Lineage: Bacteria; Pseudomonadati; Pseudomonadota; Alphaproteobacteria; Hyphomicrobiales; Pleomorphomonadaceae. The record is from RNAcentral.
UUCUCGCUGGACGAUGGGGGGAAAGUCCUGGAUAUCGGGCAUCCGCGGGGUGCGGGCAACGGUCGGCCGUUCCGCCGCCGGGGGAAU